CAACGCGAAGAACCUUACCAGGCCUUGACAUGCAGAGAACUUUCCAGAGAUGGAUUGGUGCCUUCGGGAACUCUGACACAGGUGCUGCAUGGCUGUCGUCAGCUCGUGUCGUGGGAUGUUGGGUUAAGUCCCGUAACGAGCGCAACCCUUGUCCUUAGUUACCAGCACGUUAUGGUGGGCACUCUAAGGAGACUGCCGGUGACAAACCGGAGGAAGGUGGGGAUGACGUCAAGUCAUCAUGGCCCUUACGGCCUGGGCUACACACGUGCUACAAUGGUCGGUACAAAGGGUUGCCAAGCCGCGAGGUGGAGCUAAUCCCAUAAAACCGAUCGUAGUCCGGAUCGCAGUCUGCAACUCGACUGCGUGAAGUCGGAAUCGCUAGUAAUCGUGAAUCAGAAUGUCACGGUGAAUACGUUCCCGGGCCUU
Molecule: ribosomal RNA, 426 nt
Filed under: uncultured Pseudomonas sp.
Lineage: Bacteria; Pseudomonadati; Pseudomonadota; Gammaproteobacteria; Pseudomonadales; Pseudomonadaceae
Description: bacterial SSU rRNA
Rfam family: Bacterial small subunit ribosomal RNA
Source: RNAcentral